Molecule: long non-coding RNA, 637 nt
Organism: Lycium ferocissimum
Lineage: Eukaryota; Viridiplantae; Streptophyta; Magnoliopsida; Solanales; Solanaceae
Exons: 5
Source: RefSeq, a predicted model, not a curated record
GCUCAGCAACAUACCAUGAACAAAACAAGAAUUAGAAAUAUUAAUUACUGAGUUGUUUGCUAUUGGUUCAGAUAAUCUGUUGCUGAGAAAUAUGUGCGUCCUCUUCCUCAUUCCAAGUUAAAGUCAAUCGUUUGUCUGGACGGUGAGGAGCCAAAUUAUAUAUUUGGGAAAUUUGCAUUUGUGAAAAGAUGAUAUGUGGUACACAAGAUACUUGACGAAUCGCAGAGGCAAAGAGGAUGGUUGGGUGGCGAGGCAUCACUUCUUGCAAGGCUUUCUGUGAAAGAACUUAUACCAACAAAGGAGCCAUAACUGAAAAUUAUCGCCAAGCUGAAAAGGAUUGUUCCUAGGGCUCAUCUGUUGUCUCUAAGGAGGGAAGUAAAACAAUAACUAAAGAACUAUAUCAUGUUGCCGAAUGCUGCUCUAAGAGUUCACAACCUCGAAUUUUGAAGAUGCUUUCCAGAAAGGACCAAUAAGGUGAUGAAUUGUCGACAGAUGAAUGGUGGAAGCAGUUGAAAGAUGCAAGAAAAAUUCAAAGUUCUGUAGAGUGAUUUAUUGCUAAACUUACCCCGCCUUUGACAUCUUUAGUUUGUCUUUCCCUUCAAAUCACCAAAACAAAUGAGCUUAAUAUUCAUCUAUA